AACAGGCGAGGUCGGAAAUGGUUCCCGACACACCCGAAAGGGUACCUGAGAUGCAGGAUACACCGCCCUGCCGCUUGUU
This 79-nucleotide non-coding RNA is filed under the name unclassified sequences. RNAcentral describes it as "skipping-rope RNA". It matches the Rfam family "skipping-rope RNA". Rfam says of the family: Firmicutes, Fusobacteria, AlphaProteobacteria, Spirochaetes. Downstream gene The record is from Rfam by way of RNAcentral.